This 426-nucleotide ribosomal RNA is filed under the name uncultured prokaryote. RNAcentral describes it as "bacterial SSU rRNA". It matches the Rfam family "Bacterial small subunit ribosomal RNA", at positions 355 to 796 of the family's 1533-position model. The record is from RNAcentral.
UGGGGAAUUUUCCGCAAUGGGCGAAAGCCUGACGGAGCAACGCCGCGUGAGGGAGGAAGGCCCUUGGGUUGUAAACCUCUUUUAAUAGGGAAGAAGCUCUGACGGUACCUAUUGAAUAAGCCUCGGCUAACUCCGUGCCAGCAGCCGCGGUAAGACGGAGGAGGCAAGCGUUAUCCGGAAUUAUUGGGCGUAAAGCGUCCGUAGGUGGCAAUUCAAGUCUGCUGUUAAAGCGCAGGGCUCAACUCUGUAAGGGCAGUGGAAACUGAUAGGCUAGAGUACGGUAGGGGCAGAGGGAAUUCCCAGUGUAGCGGUGAAAUGCGUAGAUAUUGGGAAGAACACCAGUGGCGAAGGCGCUCUGCUGGGCCGUAACUGACACUGAGGGACGAAAGCGAGGGGAGCGAAAGGGAUUAGAUACCCGCGUAGUCC